RNAcentral lists this ribosomal RNA (245 nucleotides) under uncultured Oscillospiraceae bacterium. RNAcentral describes it as "partial 16S ribosomal RNA". It matches the Rfam family "Bacterial small subunit ribosomal RNA", at positions 524 to 768 of the family's 1533-position model. Lineage: Bacteria; Bacillati; Bacillota; Clostridia; Eubacteriales; Oscillospiraceae. The record is from RNAcentral.
UACGUAGGUGGCGAGCGUUGUCCGGAAUUACUGGGUGUAAAGGGCGUGUAGGCGGGUAAGCAAGUCAGAUGUGAAAUACCGGGGCUCAACCCCGGGGCUGCAUUUGAAACUGCAUAUCUUGAGUGCAGGAGAGGGAAGCGGAAUUCCUAGUGUAGCGGUGAAAUGCGUAGAUAUUAGGAGGAACACCAGUGGCGAAGGCGGCUUCCUGGACUGUAACUGACGCUGAGGCGCGAAAGCGUGGGGAG